UACAGAGGUCUCAAGCGUUGUUCGGAAUCACUGGGCGUAAAGGGUGCGUAGGCCGCACGGUAAGUCAGGUGUGAAAGCCCGGAGCUCAACUUCGGAAUUGCACCCGAUACUGCCGUGCUUGAGGACUGGAGAGGAGACUGGAAUUUACGGUGUAGCGGUGAAAUGCGUAGAUAUCGUAAGGAAGACCAGUGGCGAAGGCGGGUCUCUGGACAGUUCCUGACGCUGAGGCACGAAGGUCAGGGGAGCAAACGGG
This 253-nucleotide ribosomal RNA is filed under the name uncultured bacterium. RNAcentral's name for it is "partial 16S ribosomal RNA". It matches the Rfam family "Bacterial small subunit ribosomal RNA", at positions 524 to 776 of the family's 1533-position model. The record is from RNAcentral.